Long non-coding RNA from Bombus terrestris (buff-tailed bumblebee), 737 nucleotides. RefSeq lists it as uncharacterized. The transcript is spliced from 2 exons. Lineage: Eukaryota; Metazoa; Arthropoda; Insecta; Hymenoptera; Apidae. The record is from RefSeq and is a predicted model, not a curated record.
UUCCCUUCACGGGCUUCUGCGCGUGACGCGUUUAAUCCGAUUCCGUGGAGAACAUCGAACCGACUCGAUAACUCAACGGCGUCCAGUUGAGACGCGAUUAUCAAACUUUUUCCGUUUCCUCCAUCUUCGUGAACAAGAAUGUACAAUGUGUUUCUUCCAUAUUUAGAUACAAAACAAUAAAAUAAUUUUAAAAUACAUUUUCUAUAUAUCAUGUGUAUAUUAACGCAAUUUCCUUAGUCGGAGAAGAGUAAGCGUUUAAACAGAAUUCCGGAUUUUAAUGAAAACUAAAUUGCACUAUUAAAUUCGUCAUCAGUUCUUUCCUAAUGGUUGAAUUUCCCGCGAUCAGAUCGGGAAAACCGAUACAAUGGUUAACGAAGUGUUGAUCACUGAAUAGAUUAACGCAAUUGACGAAUACCAGGAACGAUAUAAUACAGUUCAAUCGAUGCAUAGAUGCUCCAUUCUUGAACGCGGUGACAUCAUUCUGAGAAUUGGGCAGCCUCGUAUCAAGGACGGAUAAGCAACACGGUUUUUUUCCACUAGCUUCUGUCACGGGCCGCGAAUUCGGCUUGUUACGUUCUGACGGCCUUCGAGUCGCGCGACCGUGAAAAAAAGAAUGGACUAGAUUCGAGAUGGUUGCGCUAUACUCCCAUAGCAUGUACCGCUUUCGUUGUACGUUUGUUCAACGAACAAACCUGUCCAGUUUGUGUGGAAUAAAAAUUUAACAAAUGAAACUAAAA